GGUCUGCAUCCUAAUCAUGGACUCUUCAUUUACAGGUGGGAGCACCAGCAGAACCCUCUCAGCUCUUGUGGUGACCUCCACAAAGCCCCUAUUGCUCAGGAAAGCCAUGGCAGGAGAGCCUAGCCUCCCCAGGAGCAGAAAGAAGCCACUGCAGGGGGCCAGUAUCAAAGUUGAAGAACAAAGAUGGAAGGUGAAGAGACACUUCUGUUUACAGCAGCAUUCUCUGGACUAACAUACCAGAGAACACAUCAAAGCCAGCGCUAAUGCCAGCUCUUGAUAUCUGUUCUAACAAAUGAAAUGUGAAAACACUUUCCUGACUGCCAUCUAAAGCAAAACUUUUGCAAAGCACUUUCAUUUGCUUGAGGAAGAGUUGACCUUUCAGUCUUUCAUAGUUAUGCCUGGCCUUAUGCAAAAUAAACAAUGUCCAUAGGAGAAUGAGACUAGACAUGUUAAUACAUUAUACCAACUACACACUAUGUAACCAGAUCUUGUCCUAGAU
Anas platyrhynchos (mallard) is the source of this 499-nucleotide non-coding RNA. NCBI's taxonomy places the organism in Eukaryota, Metazoa, Chordata, Aves, Anseriformes, Anatidae. The record is from RefSeq and is a predicted model, not a curated record.